RNAcentral lists this ribosomal RNA (236 nucleotides) under uncultured bacterium. RNAcentral describes it as "partial 16S ribosomal RNA". It matches the Rfam family "Bacterial small subunit ribosomal RNA", at positions 1268 to 1500 of the family's 1533-position model. The record is from RNAcentral.
CGAAUCCCAGAAAUAACGUCUCAGUUCGGAUUGUAGUCUGCAACUCGACUACAUGAAGCUGGAAUCGCUAGUAAUCGCGAAUCAGAAUGUCGCGGUGAAUACGUUCCCGGGUCUUGUACACACCGCCCGUCACACCAUGGGAGUCAGUAACGCCCGAAGUCAGUGACCCAACCGGGAACCGGAGGGAGCUGCCGAAGGUGGGACCGAUAACUGGGGUGAAGUCGUAACAAGGUAAC